GAUGAAGAACGUAGCGAAAUGCGAUAAGUAGUGUGAAUUGCAGAAUUCAGUGAAUCAUCGAAUCUUUGAACGCACAUUGCGCCCCUUGGUAUCCCGAGGGGCAUCCUGUUCGAGCGUCAUUUCACCACUCAAGCCUGGCUUGGUGUUGGGCGACGUCCCCUUUGGGGACGCGCCUCGAAACGCUCGGCGGCGUGGCACCGGCUUUAAGCGUAGCAGAAUCUUUCGCUUUGGAAGUCGGGGCCCCGUCUGCCGGAAGACCUACUCGCAAGGUUGACCUCGGAUCAGGCAGGGAUACCCGCUGAACUUAAGCAUAUCAAUAAGCGGAGGA
This 328-nucleotide unclassified non-coding RNA is filed under the name soil metagenome. RNAcentral's name for it is "partial contains 5.8S ribosomal RNA, internal transcribed spacer 2, and large subunit ribosomal RNA". The stretch from base 1 to 119 matches the Rfam family "5.8S ribosomal RNA", at positions 35 to 154 of the family's 154-position model. The record is from RNAcentral.